CGGCCCCUUUUAAAUUGUUCUCAACAGUCAGACAAAUAAUUUAAUUGAUACUUUUUAUUAUUUAGACACUUCAAGAGGCUACUAAAUAUGUCAAGUAAAUAUAAAUUGCUUAUUUGGCAUAUGCAUCUUUGUUAACAAUAUUAUGGGCGUGUGAAGUCAUUUUACAUGCUCAAAUAGCAGCUUCCAUGGGACGGAUCUGUAACAAACCCUCUUGGCUGAUCGAACAAUGUCUUCAAUCAGCAUAAUUUCCAUAUUUACACAAAAAGUAAGUCAAUCCGAACUAACACCUGAUUAGUGUAUAUUAAUGCCUUCUGGUUAACAGAUUGAAUCUGGAACGAAGUCUUCAAAUAUGAGUUCGUGUUCCAUCGUUCUUCACCGCCCAACAUUGUGGAAGAAGAUGGGUUGUUUUUAUUUGAAAAUUGGAGGUCGAAUCGAUUUAAUGUUCGAAAUCUUAAAGCUUCUUUAUGAAGCAGAAUCUACAAAUUAAGGUAGAUUGCAGCUGAUUCGAUAGGCUUUGCUUCGAAAUUUUUGAAGUAUAUUCGAAGAAGAUGAAGAUUGGGUCUGUUCGAAGAACACGAAAUUUCUAGAUUUGUUCAAAGUUUAGUAAAAAAAGAUGGGUAUGUUUGAAACUUUUUGUUCUAUUCGAACGUUCGAAGAAGUCUACUCAACGACUGAUGUUGGGUUUGUCCGUAGUCUGAUAAAGACGAAAUUUCUGAAAUUAAGUUUGAAGAAUCAUAUAUUACACAUCAUCCCUCUUCGCACAGUGUAGCCAAUUGUAGUUGAUUUAAAUAUUUUGGGAUUGAUCAUAAAAGAUGUCACGGGGAAAGCAAGAAGAUGGUUGGGGGGGUUGGCGCUUGUUUGCAAAAGUUUUCUUUUUUUCUUUAAAUAUGUUUUUGUUUUUUACAUGUGUCAAAAUAUUUAUAAUAAAUUAUAUGUGUCAUUCUUUAAUUGGUUCAUUUAAUAUAUCACUAGUAAGUGUAACCCACACAUAUGUUUUGCUGGG
Molecule: long non-coding RNA, 1003 nt
Filed under: Nicotiana benthamiana
Lineage: Eukaryota; Viridiplantae; Streptophyta; Magnoliopsida; Solanales; Solanaceae
Description: long non-coding RNA (NBEN_LNC018368)
Source: RNAcentral